Molecule: long non-coding RNA, 3584 nt
Organism: Apis florea (little honeybee)
Lineage: Eukaryota; Metazoa; Arthropoda; Insecta; Hymenoptera; Apidae
Source: RefSeq, a predicted model, not a curated record
UUACGUGAUGCAUUAUUCAAAUUUCGCGCAAAUUUCGCGCCGAGCUAAUAUUUUAGGUAUUAAUUGAAACGCAGGACGCGUCAUGACGAAAAAUCCGAAAAGUUCGACAAAGGGAACACCUAUCGUUUUCACAAGCAAUAAGACUGUCCCCCAUUAGCGAAGGAUGCAACUCCUAUUUUUAUCUACCUCCGUGACUCGAUAUACGUUAUCGUUAUCUGUAAUAAGACAACCGAGAAACGAGCUAAACGAGCGAGAGCCAGCCAGCUUUCAAGGCUGCACUUGUGCAGGAUGUAAAAUUAAGGUGCAAAAAACAGAAUGUAAAAAGAUCAGCAAUGUACGCGUUGCGCAGUUACAUCUAUCCUUUUCCCUCUCUGCACAAGUCAGACAUUCGCAUGGAGAGGCAUCGAUCUUUGAGAUUUAGCAAUGGUCUAGCAAUCGAGUAAACCGAUCGACCGAAAGCGAUUUUUCCCAAAGUGGAGUCUAAUUUCGUUUAGAGAAUGAAAAUUCUCAAAGAAGAUUGAAAACUUCUCGAUAAUUCAAUUUUAAACGAAGAAGGAAUGUGUUUUUGUUCGAAAUAGAAUAUUGGUCUAUUUAAAUUAUUGACGUCAAUUUCGUAAUUAUACGUAAAUUCAUAUGAAAUGUUUCAAGAAUGAGUUUAAAAACGUCCAAGUAAUAUUCAUUUGUCUAUUUGUGACUUUUUCAAUUAAUGUUUCAUGGAAUAAAAGCAACCACGUGUCGAGCACGAAUUCUAGGAUUCUUCUUAAAUAAAUAUUGGCUUUUAUUUAAUUUUUUUUUUUUUUUUUUUUGCGGAAAAUUGACGCACGGUUUUUAAAAACGAAUUGAACGAAUGUUCACGACCAAAGUGCGCGUGGUGAGACUGUUUAAUUACUUGUCAGAAAGCAAAAUGAUGCAUCGCUCACGAUAUGCAUAAAUUUCACGGCGAACGAAUCAUCAGAUUUGACCCAAAAACAAAAUUCAUUAUCGCGGAAAAUAUUGCACCGUGGCCUGAUUGGAUCCUCUAAAUAAUUUUGAUCCUGCUAAUACACGAUAGCCUUCGAUGGAAAAUCGCCACGAGCAUAAUUCAAUUUGCAUAUCGUGUCCCUGGUGGCGUAUCUAAACCGAACGUUUAGUUUACCGCGCUUUUGUUUACCGUGUUGUUAUAUUUUUCAUGGAAGCAGUAUUUUUCAGAAUAAUGCUGCUCGGAUAAAUGGCAACAUAGUUAAAAUAAGAUAAAGCUUAAACUAAAAAUUUAAAAAUCCUCCACUCCAUUAGUUCCGCUGUAAUUUUGCUCGCAACAUUAGCCGCAAUUAAUCGAGAGCCAUAAUUAAUUAAUCACGAAUCGUAUUCGUACUCUUAGGAAUAUUAAUCAUCUUCGAUCGAGUGUCAUAAACAGAGCUCCUUGAACGCGAUUCACAUUCAAAUGACAUGACGCGGUGCGAUGAGACACAGCGGAACUUUCCUAUCGACCGUGAAGAACAUAUGUGGCAACGGAGAGAGAGAGAGAGAGAGAGACUUUUUUUUUCUUUCUCUCGUGUAUCUCCAUUCAUCUCGAGAUGAUUUUAUUUUCGGUCGAUCAAAACGAAACGGACAUAUGCACGUGCGAAAUAACUCUAAUGCCAACAGAGUUCGUGGAACAUAGGUGUUUCCAUGCGACACACGUCCACUGGCAAAAGCGACGCUCCCAACACGAGAUAUAUGGGUUCCGCGAGGAAAAUAUGCGGCCAUUCAUCCGACGAGAAUGACAAUGAACGAAUGAAAUCACGUCCACGUGUUUCUACCCGGCUAAUCGACUUCGUUUACCUUCGUUGCUCACGGAGAAAAAUCUCGAGAUAACGUGCUUUCGCAUGCUAUCUGAACGAUUACGUAAGGCUUCCAACCGUGUUCGAGAAACGAUUUUUUUGUUCCGUAGAACGAUUUAUUUUGCGAUUGUGUACGGAGAAACGACAAUUUGAAAUAUACGUGGAUCGAUUAGUACGUCAAAUUCGCGGACGGAAAACGAAUGUUUCUUUGGGAAAAAAAAAAAAAGAAAUAUAUAUUGAGAAUAUGCAGAUGAUGUCUAUAAUAGUAAGUAAAUGACCUGACGUCAUGCUGCCUAGGCCUUGAAACGAGCGAUCUCUGGUUGUAAGGGUCUCGACUCGGAGUGGGGACAAGGCGAUAAUGCUUUCAAGCGAGUCGAAGCAUUGAAGCGACGGAUACUCGGUCUGAAAUCUCCUUCUCUCUAAAUAGAUUCUUUAGAAAUUUGUGUUAUAUAGCUAGCUCAUCCUCGAGAAUCUUCUCUUCGCGAAUGCAAUAAAUAAAACCGCGUUCGACUUCGAAGGUGAUUCCUUCUGUUUCGACAAUCGAAAAGAGCUUGUUCCCGAGCUCGCUAUCUCGCGUGAUUCACGAUCGCCGACGGGCUAUUUUCCACGCGAAGGCCGUUUCACACGCGUUCGAAUCUCGCUUUUGGAACACGCUCGACGAACACUGUAUUCCCAUAUGGAAUGGAUUUAACGACAAACAGCGCAUAUAACAUAAUACGGGAAGGGGAGAACCUCUUGUAUAACGCCUCUGUUUAUUUUACUUCGUUCGAUCGAAUCUCCCUUUCCUGUACAAAUUUCAUUUUAUGUGCGAUACGGGCGCAUCGUACACGAAUCCCAGGUAGGUAAAGGAUCGCGAAUGUUUACACGUUCACAGCUCUAAACGCGAUUGGAACGAGGCUUUCCACGAUCCUGAACGGUUCGUUUUAGCUGACGCUAUUCGAAAAACAUCCACUGCAUUUUGUAUCGCAUGCCUCUACGUGCUCGCGAGUCGAUCGAUGAUACUUUUGUCUCGAAAGUCGAUACCUGGUUUCUAUAUUGCUGAUUACACGCUCUUGAAAUUGCACAACACUGAUCGUUGCCAAAACAUCGCGAUCUUUCAACUUUAUUCUUUUAUUUCCUUAUUUUUUUUAUUUAUCUUUUCGACGAUAUUAUCCUUAUUAAUAAAGAACAUGGUCCAAUGUAAACAGAAAUACACACUUCCCACCUUGAAUUCAAUCUCGUUGAGUCUAUUUCUUUACAUUUUUCGUCUUUCCUCGAACCAUCAUCCGCUUAUCAUCCGUGGAUCAGUGACACUAACGGUUUGGAAUUGGAAAAAUAAAAUAACGAUCCGUACGAGGGCGUACGAAUCAAAACGCGCGAAAUUCAAACAGGAAAUGUAAGUAAGUAUCCGUUAGAAACGGAUUUAGAAAAAUCGAUCGCAGAGAAUAAAUAUCGCGUGCAUUCUUGAAACAUAACAAAAAAUCAUAACAUCCAAUGCUACCUGCCUCGACCAGGUUAAACGAGGAUCCAACGGAACGGGUCACGCACACAGACGCAAGAUUAAGUAUGGGACAGGAUCCAACACAGAACAAUUUUACCUGGUCGUGUUCUAUGCUGGCUGGAGUAACUAACUGGUUCCGAGCACUGGCCAAAAUUUAAAUUCCAUGAAAACAGCUAAUACACGAGUGAAAACGUAAACACGAGGUCUCGUAUACGUCGUUGCGAGAAUGGUAACAAGCCAACAAUGAUACUGUAUGCUUGAAUAUAUCGUUCUUAGGGAAAAAAAAAAAAAAAGAAAAAAGAAAA